UCAGGUGCCCGAUCUUUCAAGACCGGGAUAAUAGGGAAACAGGUGAGAAUCCUGUACGAUCUCGUCACUGUAUUCAGGGAGGCUCUUUUCUCUUAGAUGUCACUGCACUCCUCAUGCGGGAAGGCGUGGAAAGAGUCUUUGAUCUGUAAGCCAGGAAACCUGCCUUUGGG
Molecule: non-coding RNA, 170 nt
Filed under: uncultured Blautia sp.
Lineage: Bacteria; Bacillati; Bacillota; Clostridia; Lachnospirales; Lachnospiraceae
Source: RNAcentral